Molecule: ribosomal RNA, 1022 nt
Filed under: Salmonella enterica
Lineage: Bacteria; Pseudomonadati; Pseudomonadota; Gammaproteobacteria; Enterobacterales; Enterobacteriaceae
Description: bacterial SSU rRNA
Rfam family: Bacterial small subunit ribosomal RNA
Source: RNAcentral
AAAUUGAAGAGUUUGAUCAUGGCUCAGAUUGAACGCUGGCGGCAGGCCUAACACAUGCAAGUCGAACGGUAACAGGAAGCAGCUUGCUGCUUUGCUGACGAGUGGCGGACGGGUGAGUAAUGUCUGGGAAACUGCCUGAUGGAGGGGGAUAACUACUGGAAACGGUGGCUAAUACCGCAUAACGUCGCAAGACCAAAGAGGGGGACCUUCGGGCCUCUUGCCAUCAGAUGUGCCCAGAUGGGAUUAGCUUGUUGGUGAGGUAACGGCUCACCAAGGCGACGAUCCCUAGCUGGUCUGAGAGGAUGACCAGCCACACUGGAACUGAGACACGGUCCAGACUCCUACGGGAGGCAGCAGUGGGGAAUAUUGCACAAUGGGCGCAAGCCUGAUGCAGCCAUGCCGCGUGUAUGAAGAAGGCCUUCGGGUUGUAAAGUACUUUCAGCGGGGAGGAAGGUGUUGCGGUUAAUAACCGCAGCAAUUGACGUUACCCGCAGAAGAAGCACCGGCUAACUCCGUGCCAGCAGCCGCGGUAAUACGGAGGGUGCAAGCGUUAAUCGGAAUCACUGGGCGUAAAGCGCACGCAGGCGGUCUGUCAAGUCGGAUGUGAAAUCCCCGGGCUCAACCUGGGAACUGCAUUCGAAACUGGCAGGCUUGAGUCUUGUAGAGGGGGGUAGAAUUCCAGGUGUAGCGGUGAAAUGCGUAGAGAUCUGGAGGAAUACCGGUGGCGAAGGCGGCCCCCUGGACAAAGACUGACGCUCAGGUGCGAAAGCGUGGGGAGCAAACAGGAUUAGAUACCCUGGUAGUCCACGCCGUAAACGAUGUCUACUUGGAGGUUGUGCCCUUGAGGCGUGGCUUCCGGAGCUAACGCGUUAAGUAGACCGCCUGGGGAGUACGGCCGCAAGGUUAAAACUCAAAUGAAUUGACGGGGGCCCGCACAAGCGGUGGAGCAUGUGGUUUAAUUCGAUGCAACGCGAAGAACCUUACCUGGUCUUGACAUCCACAGAAUUCUGCAGAGAUGCGGA